This 61-nucleotide transfer RNA is filed under the name Deltaproteobacteria bacterium. RNAcentral's name for it is "tRNA-OTHER". It matches the Rfam family "tRNA". Rfam says of the family: Transfer RNA (tRNA) molecules are approximately 80 nucleotides in length. Their secondary structure includes four short double-helical elements and three loops (D, anti-codon, and T loops). Lineage: Bacteria; Pseudomonadati; Myxococcota; Myxococcia. The record is from RNAcentral.
GGGGCCGUAGCUCAGCUGGGAGAGCGCUAGGUUGUGGGUUCGAUCCCCAUCGGCUCCACCA